RNAcentral lists this ribosomal RNA (301 nucleotides) under uncultured bacterium. Its description in RNAcentral is "partial 16S ribosomal RNA". It matches the Rfam family "Bacterial small subunit ribosomal RNA", at positions 509 to 808 of the family's 1533-position model. The record is from RNAcentral.
CAGCCGCCGCGGGAAUACGUAGGUCCCGAGCGUUGUCCGGAUUUAUUGGGCGUAAAGCGAGCGCAGGCGGUUUGAUAAGUCUGAAGUUAAAGGCUGUGGCUCAACCAUAGUUCGCUUUGGAAAUUGUCAAACUUGAGUGCAGAAGGGGAGAGUGGAAUUCCAUGUGUAGCGGUGAAAUGCGUAGAUAUAUGGAGGAACACCGGUGGCGAAAGCGGCUCUCUGGUCUGUAACUGACGCUGAGGCUCGAAAGCGUGGGGAGCGAACAGGAUUAGAUACCCCGGUAGUCCCUGUUUCUUAUACA